This 460-nucleotide ribosomal RNA is filed under the name uncultured bacterium. Its description in RNAcentral is "partial 16S ribosomal RNA". It matches the Rfam family "Bacterial small subunit ribosomal RNA", at positions 338 to 795 of the family's 1533-position model. The record is from RNAcentral.
CCUACGGGAGGCAGCAGUGAGGAAUAUUGGUCAAUGGUCGUGAGUCUGAACCAGCCAAGUAGCGUGAAGGAUGACUGCCCUAUGGGUUGUAAACUUCUUUUAUAUGGGAAUAAAAUGUUCCACGUGUGGUGUUUUGUAUGUACCCUAUGAAUAAGGAUCGGCUAACUCCGUGCCAGCAGCCGCGGUAAUACGGAGGAUCCGAGCGUUAUCCGGAUUUAUUGGGUUUAAAGGGAGCGUAGGCUGAUUUUUAAGUCAGCGGUGAAAGGUUGCGGCUCAACCAUAAAAUUGCAGUGGAAACUGGCAGGCUUGAGUGCGGUAGAGGUAGGCGGAAUGCGUGGUGUAGCGGUGAAAUGCUUAGAUAUCACGAAGAACUCCGAUUGCGAAGGCAGCAUACGGCACUGCAACUGACACUGAGGCUCGAAGGUGUGGGUAUCAAACAGGAUUAGAUACCCUAGUAGUC